GAAACUCCAAAUGUAGUGCGUUGUUAUUGUUGUUAUUUCUGGCCUUUUUAUGGUGAAUGAUGUUCUGUUGGUUUCCUUGCUUCAUGUUUUGGCAGGUACGAAACAUUGGCCCAUUAGCUUUCGUGCUUUGGAGUAUUCUUGGCCAUUCUGCAAAGGUUAUGGUAACAAGGUUAACUCAUGUGUACUGCUAUAUCAGCUCGUGUGCCUGACCUGAUUCUGCAGCAGCAAAAGAGCAAAAGAUCGGAUUUCACUCAAUGCUUUCUGUGUAGCUGCAAGCCUUAGGUGACUAGUUCAUAGCAGGUUUUGUUCAUGCAUUGUGAUGUUGUAGUGAUGCAUUGUAAGGUAUAAGCUAUACGACAAAGGACAAGUGGUGACCUCUUCUCUGCAGAAGACUUGCAGACUCACAACUGCUUGGACAAGGCGCAGUGUAGCACCCUCUGAAAUACGGUGGUCAAACGUCGUGGUUCACGACUUUGAAGCAUGAUUCCCUUGUUUGUAGAGACUUUAUUUGAAAUACCAUGAUAUUGUAAUGAGUAUGCACAUGUUUCAAGUUCGUUUCAACUAUGGGUUCAGUUUUUUUGUACACGCUUUAGUCAUGCUGGUUUACUAUUUGUCUUCUUAUUGCUUGGUUUAUAUUUCAAAUGAAUACUAGUUAGAGUUUGUACUACCGAAUUCAUAAUGUAAAUCAAGCUUGUGUUGUGCCCAUAGGUUUCAUGACUUGAUCAACUUUGUUGUCUUGCUGAAAAUGUUUUAAUUGUUGGUUUACGUUC
This is a long non-coding RNA of Lathyrus oleraceus (garden pea), 770 nucleotides long. RefSeq lists it as uncharacterized. The record is from RefSeq and is a predicted model, not a curated record. NCBI's taxonomy places the organism in Eukaryota, Viridiplantae, Streptophyta, Magnoliopsida, Fabales, Fabaceae. The transcript has 2 exons.